Molecule: transfer RNA, 74 nt
Filed under: Microcaldota archaeon
Lineage: Archaea; Nanobdellati; Microcaldota
Description: tRNA-Gly
Rfam family: tRNA
About the family: Transfer RNA (tRNA) molecules are approximately 80 nucleotides in length. Their secondary structure includes four short double-helical elements and three loops (D, anti-codon, and T loops).
Source: RNAcentral
GCGCUAGUGGUCCAACCUGGUUAAGACUCGAGCUUCCCAAGCUCGCAACCCGGGUUCAAAUCCCGGCUAGCGCA